GAUCCUGGCUUAGGAUGAACGCUAGCGGCAGGCUAACACAUGCAAGUCGAGGGGCAGCGGGAUGUAGCAAUACAUUGCCGGCGACCGGCGGAUGGGUGCGUAACGCGUAUGCAACCUACCUUAUACAGGGGAAUAACCUUUCGAAAGGGAGACUAACACCCCAUAGUAUUGAUUUAAGGCAUCUUAGAUUAAUUAAAUAUUUAUAGGUAUAAGAUGGGCAUGCGUAUGAUUAGCUAGUUGGUAAGGUAACGGCUUACCAAGGCGACGAUCAUUAGGGGUUCUGAGAGGAAGGUCCCCCACACUGGUACUGAGACACGGACCAGACUCCUACGGGAGGCAGCAGUGAGGAAUAUUGGUCAAUGGGCGCAAGCCUGAACCAGCCAUGCCGCGUGCCAGGAAGACGGCCUUAUGGGUUGUAAACUGCUUUUACAUAAGACUAACCGUAUAUUUGCGAAUAUACCUGAAUGUAUUAUGAGAAUAAGGAUCGGCUAACUCCGUGCCAGCCGCCGC
RNAcentral lists this ribosomal RNA (510 nucleotides) under uncultured bacterium. Its description in RNAcentral is "bacterial SSU rRNA". It matches the Rfam family "Bacterial small subunit ribosomal RNA", at positions 15 to 518 of the family's 1533-position model. The record is from RNAcentral.